AUUGAACGCUGGCGGCAGGCCUAACACAUGCAAGUCGAGCGAGCGGCGGACGGGUGAGUAAUGUCUGGGAAACUGCCUGAUGGAGGGGGAUAACUACUGGAAACGGUAGCUAAUACCGCAUACCAUCAGAUGUGCCCAGAUGGGAUUAGCUAGUAGGUGGGGUAACGGCUCACCUAGGCGACGAUCCCUAGCUGGUCUGAGAGGAUGACCAGCCACACUGAAACUGAGACACGUUCCAGACGCCUACGGCAGCCAGCAGUGGGGAAUAUUGGACAAUGGGCGCAAGCCUGAUGCAGCCAUGCCGCUUGUGUGACGAAGGCCUUCGGGUUGUAAAGCACGUUCAGCGGGGAGGCGUUACCCGCAAAAGAAGCACAGGCUAACUCCAUGCCAGCAGCCGCGGUAAUUC
This 406-nucleotide ribosomal RNA is filed under the name uncultured bacterium. RNAcentral describes it as "partial 16S ribosomal RNA". It matches the Rfam family "Bacterial small subunit ribosomal RNA", at positions 30 to 526 of the family's 1533-position model. The record is from RNAcentral.